Molecule: long non-coding RNA, 255 nt
Organism: Mytilus californianus (California mussel)
Lineage: Eukaryota; Metazoa; Mollusca; Bivalvia; Mytilida; Mytilidae
Exons: 2
Source: RefSeq, a predicted model, not a curated record
UUGGUGGUGUGGGUGGUAUUGUAGGAGGUGGUAGUGGACUUCUUGGUCCUAUCGGUGGUAUCAGAGGUCCAAUUGGUGGUGUUGUUUCAAAUUCUGUCGGUGUCAUCGGAAAAAGGAAAAAUAUUGUCAGUGGAUAUGGACCAAUUGGUAAAGGAAGAUAUUAAGUAUUUGAAAUGUAAAAAGAACACGAAGAAAAUCUGUAAUGAAAUGCUUCAAAUUAAUUAAUUUGUUUUAAAAAUAUAAUUGCAAACCGAC